Long non-coding RNA from Hydra vulgaris (swiftwater hydra), 618 nucleotides. RefSeq lists it as uncharacterized. The record is from RefSeq and is a predicted model, not a curated record. NCBI's taxonomy places the organism in Eukaryota, Metazoa, Cnidaria, Hydrozoa, Anthoathecata, Hydridae.
UGCUGUUACAACUUCUGCAAGCAGUUAAAACUUGGAAAAUUGAUAAUAUAGCUUCUUAAAAUAAUAUUUCAAAUUUUUGUAUAAAAGUAAUCCUUUUUAUUUUAUUUUUUGCAUCUAAUAGAUGAUCUAUAGUGUGAGUUUCAAUUAUUAUUAGUUCUACUCAAGUUACAAAACAAAAUCAUCUGGAUAAAAGUGAUAAAAUGCUAUUGGUUGGAAAUUGAUAAAUUAAUAAAAAAUGAUUGAUUCUAAUUGCGCGAAAAUAUGUUGCUCUAAAGACCCAAACCGAAAAGAAUGCCUAAAGUGGUUUUCAAAAGAUGAAUUGACGAAUUUCUUAAUUCUUUUUGUUUCGUUGUGAUAAUUUGUCGUAUGAGAACGCUAACGAGAAAAAACUUUUUAAAUAUAGAAACAUGCGUAAUAUAAAGUUUACUUAUGCCUAUAAAAAAAUAUGUUUUACAUUAAUUAAUAAAUUAACUUUUUAGUUUCUUGUUAAAAAUUGUAUUCUGUAUUGAAGUUUAUUUCUGAGAAUUUGUAAUUAUACCUAAGAUAAUCUAAUCCUACAUUGUAUUUUAAUUUAUAAAACUCGAUAUUUUAAAAUAAAUAUAUUACUUUUUUAUCGCG